Molecule: ribosomal RNA, 490 nt
Filed under: uncultured bacterium
Lineage: Bacteria
Description: partial 16S ribosomal RNA
Rfam family: Bacterial small subunit ribosomal RNA
Source: RNAcentral
GAUGAACGCUAGCUACAGGCUUAACACAUGCAAGUCGCGGGGCAGCAUGGGGGUUGCUUGCAAUCCCCGAUGGCGACCGGCGCACGGGUGAGUAACGCGUAUCCAACCUGCCCUUCACCACGGGAUAACCCGGCGAAAGUCGGACUAAUACCGUAUGUUGUCCAUUGACGGCAUCCGAUUUGGACGAAAGGCUUGGCGGUGAGGGAUGGGGAUGCGUCCGAUUAGCCAGACGGCGGGGUAACGGCCCACCGUGGCUACGAUCGGUAGGGGUUCUGAGAGGAAGGUCCCCCACACUGGAACUGAGACACGGUCCAGACUCCUACGGGAGGCAGCAGUGAGGAAUAUUGGUCAAUGGGCGUAAGCCUGAACCAGCCAAGUAGCGUGCAGGAUGACGGCCCUAUGGGUGGUAAACUGCUUUUAUGCGGGGAUAAAGUGGCCCACGUGUGGGCUUUUGCAGGUACCGCAUGAAUAAGGACCGGCUAAUUCCGUG